RNAcentral lists this ribosomal RNA (508 nucleotides) under uncultured bacterium. RNAcentral's name for it is "partial 16S ribosomal RNA". It matches the Rfam family "Bacterial small subunit ribosomal RNA", at positions 29 to 523 of the family's 1533-position model. The record is from RNAcentral.
AUCGAACGCUGGCGGCAUGCCUUACACAUGCAAGUCGAACGGCAGCGGGGGAGAAGCUUGCUUUUCCUGCCGGCGAGUGGCGAACGGGUGAGUAAUACAUCGGAACGUGCCCUGUAGUGGGGGAUAACUAGUCGAAAGAUAAGCUAAUACCGCAUACGACCUGAGGGUGAAAGUGGGGGACCGCCAGGCCUCAUGCUAUAGGAGCGGCCGAUGUCGGGUUAGGUAGUUGGUGGGGUAAAGGCCUACCACGGCAACGAUCAGUAGCUGGUCUGAGAGGACGAUGCGCCACACUGGGACUGAGACACGGCCCAGACUCCUACGGGAGGCAGCAGUGGGGAAUUUUAGACAAGGGGCGAAAGCCUGAUCCAGCAAUGCCGCGUGUGUGAAGAAGGCCUUCGGGUUGUAAAGCACUUUUGUCCGGAAAGAAAUGGCUCUGGUUAAUACCUGGGGUCGAUGACGGUACCGGAAGAAUAAGGACCGGCUAACUACGUGCCAGCAGCAGCCGCGG